AUGAACGCUGGCGGCGUGCCUAAUACAUGCAAGUCGCGCGAACAGACGAGGAGCUUGCUCCUCUGACGUUAGCGGCGGACGGGUGAGUAACACGUGGAUAACCUACCUAUAAGACUGGGAUAACUUCGGGAAACCGGAGCUAAUACCGGAUAAUAUAUUGAACCGCAUGGUUCAAUAGUGAAAGACGGUUUUGCUGUCACUUAUAGAUGGAUCCGCGCCGCAUUAGCUAGUUGGUAAGGUAACGGCUUACCAAGGCAACGAUGCGUAGCCGACCUGAGAGGGUGAUCGGCCACACUGGAACUGAGACACGGUCCAGACUCCUACGGGAGGCAGCAGUAGGGAAUCUUCCGCAAUGGGCGAAAGCCUGACGGAGCAACGCCGCGUGAGUGAUGAAGGUCUUCGGAUCGUAAAACUCUGUUAUUAGGGAAGAACAAAUGUGUAAGUAACUAUGCACGUCUUGACGGCACCUAAUCAGAAAGCCACGGCUAACUACGUG
RNAcentral lists this ribosomal RNA (496 nucleotides) under uncultured bacterium. RNAcentral's name for it is "partial 16S ribosomal RNA". It matches the Rfam family "Bacterial small subunit ribosomal RNA", at positions 29 to 507 of the family's 1533-position model. The record is from RNAcentral.